CGUGUAGGCGGGAAGACAGGUCAGAUGUGAAAUGUCGGGGCUCAACCCCGGAACUGCAUUUGAAACCGUUUUUUCUUGAGUAUCGGAGAGGCAGGCGGAAUUCCUAGUGUAGCGGUGAAAUGCGUAGAUAUUAGGAGGAACACCAGUGGCGAAGGCGGCCUGCUGGAACGACAACUGACGCUGAGGCGCGAAAGCGUGGGUAGCAAACA
This 209-nucleotide ribosomal RNA is filed under the name uncultured Clostridia bacterium. Its description in RNAcentral is "partial 16S ribosomal RNA". It matches the Rfam family "Bacterial small subunit ribosomal RNA", at positions 568 to 774 of the family's 1533-position model. The record is from RNAcentral. Lineage: Bacteria; Bacillati; Bacillota; Clostridia.